This 226-nucleotide long non-coding RNA is filed under the name Mytilus galloprovincialis (Mediterranean mussel). The record is from RNAcentral. Lineage: Eukaryota; Metazoa; Mollusca; Bivalvia; Mytilida; Mytilidae.
CUCUCAUCCCCACAAAAACAAAUCCCAUCAGCAUUGACAGUAAAAUAAAAGGGAUGUCAAUCUGGACACACUGGGACGUUGCGCACGGUGAUAUUGCGGCACCCUGGCCAAGAUUUACAGUAAAUGGGAAAACUUAAAAAAGGACAUUUUGUAUAAAUGAAUAAACCUAGUUUUACAGCUAGCUGCAUAUUUCAUUUGUAUGCAAGUUGCAUUAAAUCUCAUUAAA